This 423-nucleotide ribosomal RNA is filed under the name uncultured bacterium. Its description in RNAcentral is "bacterial SSU rRNA". It matches the Rfam family "Bacterial small subunit ribosomal RNA", at positions 355 to 776 of the family's 1533-position model. The record is from RNAcentral.
UAAGGAAUAUUGGUCAAUGGAGGCAACUCUGAACCAGCCAUGCCGCGUGCAGGAUGAAGGCUCUAGGGUCGUAAACUGCUUUUAUACGAGAAGAAACCCCGUUACGUGUAACGGGCUGACGGUAUCGUAAGAAUAAGGACCGGCUAACUCCGUGCCAGCAGCCGCGGUAAUACGGAGGGUCCAAGCGUUAUCCGGAUUCAUUGGGUUUAAAGGGUGCGUAGGCGGAUUUAUAAGUCAGUGGUGAAAGCCUGCAGCUUAACUGUAGAAUUGCCAUUGAUACUGUUUAUCUUGAGUCUAGUUGAAGUGGGCGGAAUGUGUCAUGUAGCGGUGAAAUGCAUAGAUAUGACACAGAACACCGAUAGCGAAGGCAGCUCACUAAGCUAGUACUGACGCUGAGGCACGAAAGCGUGGGGAGCGAACAGG